Molecule: ribosomal RNA, 502 nt
Filed under: uncultured bacterium
Lineage: Bacteria
Description: partial 16S ribosomal RNA
Rfam family: Bacterial small subunit ribosomal RNA
Source: RNAcentral
GAUUAACGCUGGCGGCGUGCCUAACACAUGCAAGUCGAGCGGCAGCGCGUUUUACACUGAAUUCUGGAAGCUUCCAGUUGAAAGAGAAGAUUUAUUCAAGAAUUUUGUGUAAAAUGUCGGCGAGCGGCGGACGGCUGAGUAACGCGUGGGAACGUACCCCAAAGUGAGGGAUAACGCAUCGAAAGGUGUGCUAAUACCGCAUAUGGUCUUCGGAUUAAAGCCUUCGGGCGCUUUGGGAACGGCCUGCGUAAGAUUAGAUAGCUGGUGGGGUAAUGGCCUACCAAGUCGACGAUCUUUAACUGGUUUGAGAGGAUGAUCAGUCAGACUGGAACUGAGACACGGUCCAGACUCCUACGGGAGGCAGCAGUGAGGAAUCUUCCACAAUGGGCGAAAGCCUGAUGGAGCAACGCCGCGUGCAGGAUGAAGGCCUUCGGGUUGUAAACUGCUUUUAUAAGUGAGGAUUAUGACAGUAACUUAUGAAUAAGGAUCGGCUAACUACGUG